CCAACAUAGCUGCACUUACAACCUCUAUAACUUCAUUCUUAUUAGCAGCAACAGACGCGUUUGAUUGAAUGAAGAUCAGACUGUUGAUUCUCUACUCUAUCAUCUUGGCUACUGUUACAGGAGAAGACACGUUUCCUUCUUUUCUUUACGUCGAGUCUGUCUGGAAUAGUUGAGUUAAGCUUCAUCGUCUCUGGAGAGCUUCGAAACGACACUCUUGGACUGAAGUCAGUAUACUCCAGCGAUCAUCCUCUCCCCUCCACUCACUGUCCAUACAUACCCACAUGUAUGUAGGUGAUGGCCAGCUG
This is a long non-coding RNA of Scomber japonicus (chub mackerel), 305 nucleotides long. RefSeq lists it as uncharacterized. Lineage: Eukaryota; Metazoa; Chordata; Actinopteri; Scombriformes; Scombridae. The transcript is spliced from 3 exons. The record is from RefSeq and is a predicted model, not a curated record.